This 56-nucleotide transfer RNA is filed under the name Camelus ferus (Wild Bactrian camel). It matches the Rfam family "tRNA", at positions 9 to 63 of the family's 71-position model. From Rfam's summary of the family: Transfer RNA (tRNA) molecules are approximately 80 nucleotides in length. Their secondary structure includes four short double-helical elements and three loops (D, anti-codon, and T loops). The record is from Rfam by way of RNAcentral. Lineage: Eukaryota; Metazoa; Chordata; Mammalia; Artiodactyla; Camelidae.
AGCUCAGUGGUAGAGCACAUGCUUAGCAUGCAUGAAGUCCUGGGUUCAAUCCACAG